AGCAGCCGCGGUAAUUCCAGCUCCAAUAGCGUAUAUUAAAGUUGUUGCAGUUAAAAAGCUCGUAGUUGAAUUUCGGGAUCAGUUGGUCGGUCGUGCCUCGGUACGUACUGGUCAAAUUGAUUCCUACCUUCUGACGAACCACGAUGUCAUUAAUUUGGUGUCGCGGGAAAUCAGGACUGUUACUUUGAAAAAAUUAGAGUGUUUAAAGCAGGCUCGCGCUUGAAUACAUUAGCAUGGAAUAAUGAAAUAGGACGUUUGAUUCUAUUUUGUUGGUUUCUAGGAUCGACGUAAUGAUUAAUAGGGAUAGUUGGGGGCAUUAGUAUUCAAUUGUCAGAGGUGAAAUUCUUGGAUUUAUUGAAGACUAACUACUGCGAAAGCAUUUGCCAAGGAUGUUUUCAUUAAUCAAGAACGAAAGUUAGGGGAUCGAAGACGAUCAGAUACCGUCGUAGUCUUAACCAUAAACUAUGCCGACUAGGGAUCGGAUGAUGUUAAUUUUUAAUGACUCAUUCGGCGCCUUACG
Molecule: small RNA, 520 nt
Filed under: uncultured Glomus
Lineage: Eukaryota; Fungi; Glomeromycota; Glomeromycetes; Glomerales; Glomeraceae
Description: SSU rRNA
Rfam family: Eukaryotic small subunit ribosomal RNA
Source: RNAcentral